This 484-nucleotide ribosomal RNA is filed under the name uncultured bacterium. RNAcentral's name for it is "partial 16S ribosomal RNA". It matches the Rfam family "Bacterial small subunit ribosomal RNA", at positions 30 to 507 of the family's 1533-position model. The record is from RNAcentral.
AUUGAACGCUGGCGGCAGGCCUAACACAUGCAAGUCGAGCGGAUGAAGGGAGCUUGCUCCUGGAUUCAGCGGCGGACGGGCGAGUAAUGCCUAGGAAUCUGCCUGGUAGUGGGGGAUAACGUCCGGAAACGGGCGCUAAUACCGCAUACGUCCUGAGGGAGUAAGUGUGGGAUCUUCGGACCUCACGCUAUCAGAUGAGCCUAGGUCGGAUUAGCUAGUUGGUGGGGUAAAGGCCUACCAAGGCGACGAUCCGUAACUGGUCUGAGAGGAUGAUCAGUCACACUGGAACUGAGACACGGUCCAGACUCCUACGGGAGGCAGCAGUGGGGAAUAUUGGACAAUGGGCGAAAGCCUGAUCCAGCCAUGCCGCGUGUGUGAAGAAGGUCUUCGGAUUGUAAAGCACUUUAAGUUGGGAGGAAGAGCAGUAAGUUAAUACCUUGCUGUUUUGACGUUACCAACAGAAUAAGCACCGGCUAACUUCGUG